GGAUAGCUCAGUCGGUAGAGCCUGAGAUUCUUAAUCUCAGGGUUGUGGGUCGAGCCCCAUGUUGGGCA
Molecule: non-coding RNA, 68 nt
Organism: Podarcis lilfordi (Lilford's wall lizard)
Lineage: Eukaryota; Metazoa; Chordata; Lepidosauria; Squamata; Lacertidae
Source: the annotation of a GenBank genome assembly